Molecule: long non-coding RNA, 8283 nt
Organism: Gallus gallus (chicken)
Lineage: Eukaryota; Metazoa; Chordata; Aves; Galliformes; Phasianidae
Exons: 2
Source: RefSeq, a predicted model, not a curated record
UGACUGUGAGCCCAGAGACUGCAUGAGGGACAGCGCAUAGCCUGGGCUGCGCUCAGGGCAGGAGUCUGAGGCAGUUACCUGAAAUUGCCUUUCUUCAAACACCAGCUGGCAGCCCUAGAGAUGGGCACAAGAGGGUCCAGCCUAAAAUAGCAUUCCCCAAAGUGCAAGGCACGUUGCCAUUAUAGGUGAGGCCUGGUGCGUCCCUGCCCGUGGAGCAGAGCUGGGAGCACCCCAAGGAGGGCCCGGCGGGGCGGCAUGGUGCCAGAGCAGCCAGGCCACAGCAGGAAUCACCCCGUUGGCCUCUCCUCCUUCCCGUGUCCUCCAGCAGUGCUGCUGGCUGCUGGGGAAGAUGGGGCAGUGCGGAGGAACAUAAGAAGGGAGAGGGAGAACAAGAGGCAAAAACCCAGACAAAACACCUUUUCUGCCUUGAAUUUCCAAACAGAUGUUAGGGCCUGUCUUUCUCGCUCUCAAGGAUUUUUUUUUAACCUUGCUGUAACUGCUGCUGCUGUGGUGAAGGGGGCUCCUCCAGCAGCAUACCCCGCUUGGGUUCCUGAUGUUGCCUCCUUCGCCUUGCAGAGAGCUGCAGCUCCUUGGCUUCGCCGCUUUUCACCUUGGGAUAGGUCAGAAACAUUACCCUGAGGUAAAAAAGCUCACCUCUUUCUGCUGUGAAGGCAAGGCCCAGCUCUGCCUCAGACAUCUCCCUCCAUAACUGGAAUUUCAACAAGUACCUGCCCCUAAGAUUAAUGUUGCGCAGCAUUCCCAGGCACGCCCCGCCACAAACACGGCUGAUCUUCUUCUGGGCCCCAGCACAGCACUAGCAGCCUUCUGCCCGCAGCAACGUGCCCCAGCUCAGGAGCGAGGUUCCCUGCUCAGCCUGAGACACCAACCCACGCCACUCACUAGUGGGCGAGUGGGGAAAUAUCUGCCCCAUGGCGGGACCUGCAGAGCAAGCCCUUACCUAGCUGCAGUGCCUCCUUAGACAGGAGAUCUUUUCCUUUCCCCGCUGACCCUGUUCUUGAAGAUUUAUAUGACCAAUUUAUAAUCUCCUUUUAAUUGCAGAGAUAAUAUAUUUAAAACACAUGUGCUUCCCGCAGCGCUGUGUGCGCUUUGAGUGUUGUCUGCCUUUUGCCCCGUGUGCAUUCACCGAAGGUACUUGUGCAUAUGGAAACAAUCAGACUACCCAAAAGACAACACACUUGAUACUGUUAAUUACAUGGAGUAAACACCACUGGGACUAUAACCAGUCUCUAGAUCUGAGUCAGUAUUUUGCUGCUGAGCUAAAGACGAAAGUCCAUUAUGUGCACUCAUACAGCCGGCUAAGUCCCUGCUGCACACACUGCUGAUUUCUGUACAUGCUACGUGGCAGAGAGCCAAGGAAUUAUAGCACAAACAGGAUUUUAUAACCAGCGUUAUUUAAGGAUGGGCAAACUGUGAAACUGCAAAAGUCAAUGAUUCUAGUGCACUUUCAAUUAAUUUUUACUGUCAAGUUGUAUUUCAGGAUACUAAAGACCUCCGUGAUGACAAGAAGGAGGCUGUGGGAAUAGGCGGGAAUACAGUAUGCACGGUUCUUCUCUCUGAUUUAUGGAUCAGUGAAUAACCUAUCUAGAUGGCAAGUUAUUUCUUUCCUCUCACGUUAGAUGGAAUUCAUCUUUGUCUUGAGUUCCUGCCAGAAAACACAUUUAAGCAAUAUAAAUACAGGUAUCAGGCAUUAUAUUGUGCAAAUGGUAUAUCUGAGUCCUUGCACUGAAGUAAACAUCACUGCUUGGGCACUAAAGAUGGCUGUAAUACUUGUGUUGUUCAGACAAUUGAUCUUAUCGUAGUCUGAUAUAGAAAUAAGUAAACAGAGUUAACACCUCAGCAGCUUCCAGAAGGAACCUCAGAGAGGAUGCUGAAUUUUAAAACACCAGCAUACACUGAAGUCUUCAUGCCCAAAGUUUUUAAGUCAGAAUUAAAGCGGGCUGUGUGUGAGUAAUCAAACUGAUGUAGGCUUCCUUCCUUCUUAGGUUGAGUGUCCAGUUCAUCAGCUUGGCACCCUCCAUGUCACACUAAAACUACAAGGCCAGUUUGAAGGGACACGCCAUGCUCAAACCCUUUCAGAUUUACCUGAGAUUAGGCAGAAGGCUUGGAAGGGGUUGCAGGAAGGCAGAACAAUUGCAUAAACCUUGUGUCCUUAGAAAACCUAAAGAAAAAAAAGAAAAAAACAAGAAAAAAGAGCAAAUCCAUGUGCCCUGGAAAAUACUGAUGGAGCUGGGCUGCAGGUAGGUGUCCUCCAGCUUACAGCUGAGCCAGGCUGCUUUGCUGCUGUGGUUUCUUCUCUGCUUCCCCAGGUUACUGCUUCAUUGGCUGUUUAGCUGCCCUUUAAACAAGGUCUGUGAAGUGAUCCACUUGAAAUAAGUGAUUUUUGUUUUUUUCUUAACCCAAAAGUCCUCAACAAAGUCUUCAGUGCAAAGCUAUAUCAACUCUCGUCUCAGUGGAUUGGGACUGCGGGUGUAAGUCUCUGCAGUACAAGAUGCAGUCUGCAUCUUUUAGAUGUUGUACUGAGGGACAUGGUUCAGUGGGGAAAUACUGGUGGUAGGUGGAGGGUUGGGCUGGAUGAUAUUGGAAGUCUUUUCCGACCUUGGCGAUUCUGUGGUUCACUGAUUGUGUGUCCAUAACCAGAAGUGGCAAAAGUGUGUCUCUGUGUUACAUCUGUUGUGGUGUUCCUCCUUUUCUCAGGUCCACAGCCAUAAAGCGACCUUGUUCCUGCUUCUGUACCAGCUGGUCACUUUGUGCUCAGCUGGCACAAACCAUGAUUGCUCUCCAUACAGGUGGGCUGGCACCCAGGAAUCCUGACCAGCGUACACUUAGCCCAGCUUCAGAUGUGUUGAACAACUUCCUUUGGACCCACUAGUUUUGGCAGGCCACGUUUAUGCUGAUUUUUUUUGCCACUGGAGCUGUAUCACACCGAUUUGAGAAUUUAAACAACGGCAAAGCUAAGCCUGCAACGUUUAAAAUGUUAGCCAAGUUGGAUGCGUUAGCAGCAGGCUUAUCUCCACGUGAAAGCCUGUGUGUGACAAGGCAAACCGUGGACGCCUUGCACACUGUCACUGUGCACGUAGGCAGCAGACAUGCAUGCAGGCUGUGGCAGAAGCCACUGUCACUGGCUCUCGCCCAGUGCUGGAGGUUCCUGCUGCUUCAGUCCAGGCUGUGGGGUGACAGCUUCCUCUCAUGCAUAGAGAAGGACGUUGUAAACACAGAAUGUCUCUGCUAACCUUCCCCUGUUCUGGCUGAGAAAAUGUAAGAAGCAUUCAAGCACAGUGCAGCAAAGCAGAUCUGAAGGGAUUGUUAACCACAGGCACGGAGGAUAACCUCUUCCACCAGCACAUUAGCCUGGGAGGACGUGCAUCUGUAGCCCAGCCCCCUGUGUGGACUUUGUUAGAUUAUCUCUAGGGAGAUGAUUGCAGAGGAACCUGCUGCUCAUUUGUAGCGUGAAACCACGCAGCUCCUCCUCUGGCUGCCACUGUGCUCCUGCUUAUAGGGCAGCUACUCAGCUCAUCUGUGUUUACCCUAAAGAUGGGGGGCAGGCGUAACCUUUCUGUACACCCAGCGUGAAGUGGCUUACCCCUCCGUGAAACUCAGGUGAGCUGCUUCUCUGCCGACUGCAAACUGGGAGCAUCUUCACGGGGAACUUUUCCGCUGAAAUCAAAGUGAAACUUCACCCUGGGCUUUCUUAUUGCUGCCUCCUGAGUCACCACAUCCUUCUCUUGUCACCACCACCUUUCUGUUUAGAAAGUGAUAAUGAGACGCAGUGUUCAGCAGUGAGAACUGGGUCUGUGUGCGAGGAAUGAAUUUACAGAGGGGUUAAAAUUCGCUCUUUGAAAGCAGAGAGCACCAAAAGGUCCACCUGGGGAGUCAGUUGUUGGCGUGCUGCAGUUUUACAGUGCUUCCCUACAUUUCUUGUGGAGACAAGCCCCAAGGAAUCUGAAGACUUGGCUUAUUUUCCUGAUCCUGCAACAGAUCCUGCCUUGCCCGGCUAUGGGGCUUAGCAGCAGGGCAAAGAAGAGGAGCUGGGAAGAGAAGGAGGAGAGGCCAGGCUUCUCCAGGUGGAGAGCCUUGCUGUUUCCCACCCCGUGUCUCUUUGUCUCUCACUCUACUAUCUCCUGGAGUUGGCAACAAGUUAAUGUGACUCGGGAGCCAGAAGGUGAGGGGGUUGCUGUGGAUGAAGGCCUACAUUGUGUCCUUCUGAACCCAAGGCUAUUCCCCUCCCCCUUUCCAUUCUUUGGGUUACUCAGCAGAGCUGCUCCGAUUCACAUAAGCUAACAAUCUGUUGAGAAGAAGCAGUUAGGGCCAUAGAAGUUGUUGACAUCCUAUUUUCUUUUUUUUCUUUUUCUUUUUCUUUUUCUUUUUCUUUUUCUUUUUCUUUUUCUUUUUCUUUUUCUCUUUUUCUUUUUCUUUUUCUUUUUCUUUUUCUUUUUCUUUUUCUUUUUCUUUUUCUUUUUCUCUUUCUUUUUCUUUUUCUUUUUCUUCUUUUCUUUUUCUUUUUCCAGUGGCAUAACCGGUACUCCAGCUUAGCUCAUCCUUUUGUGCUCUCCAUCCCUUGCGUUGAAUCCAUGAGGAUGCACGAGGGUAGAACUUCAGAUCCCCCCCCAUCCCCCCAACCAGCUGGGACCAGCAGCUAAAGACAUUCAGCAUUUCUCACAGUCCGCAGCGUAGCUUUUGAGCUGGCUGGUAAUUGGAAACACUGUGCACUCCACUGCUCGGUCUCGCAGGCUCCCUGGCCAGCUGUGGGCUGCUCACCACCACCGCUGAGCCCGCAGUGCAGGGACGAGCUGCAGCGCCUGGUGAGGAUGGGCUGUGGUUGCGGGAGGCCAUCAGGUCGGCUUGCGUGUCUUUUUCCAGGAAGUCGAGUGCAUACUCCCUGCUUCUUCUUUUUUUUUUUUUUUUUCAUGAUCUUCAAGAGUUCAGCUCAAAGCAGCUGCAGAAAAAAAGCAUCCUGCUGCAGAAGAGCCAAUGGCCCUGGGAACAGACUGCUUUUAUAAAAAGCCUUACGAGAGCCAGAUGCCCCCUACCCUGACAAAGACUGAUCAGGUGGCUGCUGGUAUCGCCUUUCACUGCUCUUUGGCAAGGGUGGAAACACAGAAUGAUGGUGAGUUUUCAGGUGGAGAUGUAUUUUAUUUUUGCUUCGGUGAUGCAGAUGGAAAGAGUCGUUCCAUGCUAAGCAGCGCCGGCGUAGGGACAAAAAGGAGGACUAUGGGUGUCUAGGAGCAUGCAUGCAAUUACUGUAAUUCUCACACACAGGGUGCCAUGGAUUUAUGCUUUGUGAGAGGUCAGGUCAGAUCAUCAGCAUGGAAAAUAAAUCCAUUGGAUGUAUCUCCCGGGGGGUGCAGGAGGCUGUGCUGCAAGUCUCUUGGCACGGGGUGAGUUUUGGACGGGCAAUCACUUUGCAGAUCGGAGAAGGGAGGAAUCCACGUUGAGCCGAGCCGCAAGUCUUUGCAGAACCAAAGCACUGAUUCUUCCUGCAACAGCUCUUGGGUCGCUUCUGAGCCGGGUGGGAAGUCGGGGUGUUUCUUCAAAAUGACACAUAGGGUUUGCAGAGAUUAUUCACACCCUUUAUUGCAGGGUUGCAACAAAAUCCCCCUCUUUUUCCUUCCCUCUCUCAUAAUCUGGAUCCUGCUCACACCGGUACCUAACACGCAUCUCAUGAAUUAUUUGGGGGAUGAAACAGAAACUCCCUGCCCAAUCCAGCAGCCUGAUAGGUUUUUAUCUCAAGAUGAUGAUGAUGUUUAUUUUGAUGUUUAUUUUUGUACCUUUGUAAAUGCCGAGAGAUGCGACACGACUCCAACCCUAAACUCUCUCCCACUUCACUUUCAGGCAGUCCCCCAGCACUUCCCCACCCGAGCGGCCGCAGCAGGUGAUCCGCGGAGGAAGAGGAGGAUGAAGCCCGGCGUGCGAGCCAGCCCCGCCGGCUGCCGAGUGCCACCAGAGGGUGCUGCGCCGUACCGCCGGCCGGCAGGGACGGAUGGGAACGGGAGGGAUGCGAGAGGGACGCGGGAGGCUGCGGCCCCAGCCAGCUCCCUGCCUGCCAGCUCCUGCUGUGGUUGCCAGGCUGCUUGGUUUGGUUGCCCCGCAGCUAGCUAGUUCCGUCUGAUGGACCUCAGCUCCCUCUGGAGAAAACAAACGUUUGUGGCCGUGUUGAUGUGCAAGGAGGAAAACAUCGACACCGCAGAUAACGUGGUUGGUACGUCUCGAGACAGCGUAUGUAGAAGACAGCAUUUAAAAGGGUUGGUUUAUUAACUUUGCGCUCCCGUGCCGUAACCAGCCGCCCUUUAGGGAGACAGAAUUAGCCUCUCUUUAGCAGAAGGCAUCACAUCCCUCUGCUUAUGUCCCGUGCCGCUGCUCCCCCCAGCAGCCGCACUCCUCGGUGCCUGCUGUCCCACACGUCCGGGGCUGCUGUACAGAGCGCUCCUUAUACAGACGUCUCUUGGCAUGGAGGCGCUCCCCGGGAGCACGACUGUAGGUUGAAAUUCUGCCUUCUUGGAAUAAGCAAAUGCCAGGGGUUUAUUUCCUAUUAAGCUAGCAGAUAGUUUGUGCAUUUAGCCGCAGUUUGCUGUCUCCAACCAGAUACGGGUGGAUCCUUCUUGUUUUCCUUCCUCUUUAUAUUUCCAGCCUGGGAAACAGCAAAAAGUUUGUGCAAAAGCAACAUCUGUGGGAGAGAGAGAGAGAAAAGGAUGAGGCAGGCUGGCCCGGCAGCCAGCCUCAGGAGAUGGUAAGACAGAAGAGCUAUUCAUUGUGAGAGGCAGUUGCUCCUCACCCUGCUAGACUAUAAAUUGGACACCUUAUUAAGAGCUGAUCCUCCAACAGCCCCACCCCGGGCUGUGCUCACGCUCCGGACUAGAGGAACGCAAUCCCGUUUCGCUCUGGGUGCCCGCUGUGGGGUGAGCACAUGUGUGAGCAGGACAGAGGACACGAGGCAGAAGGAAGCAGCACACUUUUUGAUUUGUGGGUCGUCAGCUUAGGAAAACAAGGCAAACUUUUGGGAGGCAGCAGGGAGGAGGUUGGAUGGCAGCGAAGUUUGGGCUCUCACCCUAUGAUGCGCUGGUUGCCUUAGCAAAUAAUGGAAGCAGUAUUACAUUUUUUUCCUUUUUUUUUUAAACUUGUUUUCUCAGUUGUAACUUAAAAAUGCUGACUCACUGGCACUGUGUGCCAACACAAAUGUUGCUGCGGAAAUCAAUCAUCAUGAGAGCCUGGCGAGAUAUAACCCCACAGUGGCGCAGGCUUUGAAUGGGCCUCUUUGGUCAUUCCAAGUUUCUUCUUCAGACAAUUCGCCCGGAAACUUCCUUCUUGUCAGGUGAGCCCAAAGGUCUGAGCAGACUCACGCAGAUGUCACGUUGAAUGGUUGCUGUGGUGAAAAAUUCACAGGAAUGUGAGGUUAACAAAUUCAUCAGUUGUAUCAUCCUUGGCAAGACUUCUGAGCUUUCCAGCCUUUGCGCACCUUUAACCAUUUGAAAGGUUCUUGGGCUUGCAUUUGAAGUGCACAAGCUAUUGCCAGCUGCUGUCAGAAAUAAAUAUCUUUAUGUAUUCUUCAGAGCUUGUUUUUGUGCUGAAGAAAGCAGGAUGGAUCACAGGCCUUUUGUACUGUUCUGAACAUUAUUCCUGCUCAGACAUUCAUGUUUUUCCUUCCACGUGAAACCGAUUGGAGGAGUCAUGCAACACUAGAUGUGUUGGGAGGAGUCUGCAUUUUCAGAGCAUCUGCUCGUUGAUUUCUCUGCUGAGGUUCCUCUGUUUUAUUUUCCUUGGCAGGCCAUUUAAACAUAGUUAGAUAUAUUGCAACUGAGCGGUGGUCAGGUAAUUCAAAGUAACAUGGAAAUGUGACCUUCAUACAUGCCUCCCCGCUCCUCGGGUAGCACUAAGAUACAGGUGCAUUUCAAUAGCAUCUCCUAGAAUUGCUGACUUCAGUUGCAUCUCAUAUAAUUGAAAAACAGCCUUUGUAUUUCCUUUAGGAGGAAAUACAUUUUUUUUCAGAUCUGAAAAAUCUAGGAUAUUGCUGUGGCUCAUUUGAAAAUGGCCGCGUGAUUCUCUAGGUUGUGAUUGCCUGACUGUCGCUGGUGUAUUGGAAGGCAUUGGCUGACAAGAUGUUCCUGGAUACCUUAAUUUGUGUGCCUCAGAUGACUUUACAUGCUUAUAAAAAUGAGCACAAAGCAUCUUCAGCGUUUCUCUCACUUUUCUUCUCCUACAUUCUACUUGAGGGACUUCUUAGUUUUGCCAAUGAUUUUGUUUCCCAAUAAAACAGCGUGUCUGAAUUCA